Molecule: transfer RNA, 71 nt
Filed under: Ictidomys tridecemlineatus (thirteen-lined ground squirrel)
Lineage: Eukaryota; Metazoa; Chordata; Mammalia; Rodentia; Sciuridae
Description: Spermophilus tridecemlineatus (thirteen-lined ground squirrel) tRNA
Rfam family: tRNA
About the family: Transfer RNA (tRNA) molecules are approximately 80 nucleotides in length.
Source: Rfam by way of RNAcentral
GGGGUUGUGGUUCAGUGGUAGAGCACUUGCCUAGCAUGUGUGAGGCCCUGGGUUCAAUUCUCAGCACCCUA